GGGUGCGAGCGUUAAUCGGAAUUACUGGGCGUAAAGCGUGCGCAGGCGGUUAUAUAAGACAGUUGCGAAAUCCCCGGGCUUAACCUGGGAAUGGCGCUUGUGACUGCACGACUGGAGUGCGGCAGAGGGGGAUGGAAUUCCGCGUGUAGCAGUGAAAUGCGUAGAUAUGCGGAGGAACACCGAUGGCGAAGGCAGUCCCCUGGGCCUGCACUGACGCUCAUGCACGAAAGCGUGGGGAGCAAACAGGAUUAGAUACCCUGGUAGUCAAGGGCG
This 273-nucleotide ribosomal RNA is filed under the name uncultured Burkholderiales bacterium. Its description in RNAcentral is "partial 16S ribosomal RNA". It matches the Rfam family "Bacterial small subunit ribosomal RNA", at positions 530 to 802 of the family's 1533-position model. Lineage: Bacteria; Pseudomonadati; Pseudomonadota; Betaproteobacteria; Burkholderiales. The record is from RNAcentral.